This is a long non-coding RNA of Lemur catta (Ring-tailed lemur), 233 nucleotides long. RefSeq lists it as uncharacterized. The transcript is spliced from 3 exons. The record is from RefSeq and is a predicted model, not a curated record. Lineage: Eukaryota; Metazoa; Chordata; Mammalia; Primates; Lemuridae.
GGGAAUCACCCGCUCCCAAGGCUGUCCAGGAAAUGUGCCAUUUCUGGUGGUGUGAUCUUUCCUGUAUGAUCAGUGACAUCUCAUCUUCCCUAUGUUUGCAUGGAAUCUUCUGGAAGAUUUUGGCAUUGAACAACCAUGGCCAACAGCACGGCGACUCCUGCGGGAAUGAAGCUCAUCUAACACACGUGUUUUCUCCACAAAGCACAGCACAGCCUUCCUGUGCUUAGAAACAC